CGCGUAGGCGGUGCGGUAAGUCUGUGGUGAAAUCUCUGGGCUCAACUCAGAGUCUGCCAUAGAAACUGCCGUGCUGGAGUGUGGGAGAGGUGAGUGGAACUCCCGGUGUAGCGGUGAAAUGCGUAGAUAUCGGGAGGAACACCUGUGGCGAAAGCGGCUCACUGGACCACAACUGACGCUGAGGCGCGAAAGCUAGGGAGCAAACA
Molecule: ribosomal RNA, 206 nt
Filed under: uncultured bacterium
Lineage: Bacteria
Description: partial 16S ribosomal RNA
Rfam family: Bacterial small subunit ribosomal RNA
Source: RNAcentral